GCCGGAGGGUUCAGAAAGCAGAGUCUGUGCAGUGAGGCUCUGCCGAUACCCCUCUCCGAGAAGAAAUGGACGGCUAAAGAGCAGCUCGGGAUUACAGACCCAAAACCGAGCUGACUGCUCCAUCCUACAACA
RNAcentral lists this small nucleolar RNA (132 nucleotides) under Leptobrachium leishanense (Leishan spiny toad). RNAcentral's name for it is "Small Cajal body specific RNA 4 (ENSLLEG00000017963.1)". It matches the Rfam family "Small Cajal body specific RNA 4". Rfam says of the family: scaRNAs are a specific class of small nuclear RNAs which localise to the Cajal bodies and guide the modification of RNA polymerase II transcribed spliceosomal RNAs U1, U2, U4, U5 and U12. The record is from Rfam by way of RNAcentral. Lineage: Eukaryota; Metazoa; Chordata; Amphibia; Anura; Megophryidae.